RNAcentral lists this ribosomal RNA (492 nucleotides) under uncultured bacterium. Its description in RNAcentral is "partial 16S ribosomal RNA". It matches the Rfam family "Bacterial small subunit ribosomal RNA", at positions 29 to 507 of the family's 1533-position model. The record is from RNAcentral.
AGUGAACGCUGGCGGUAGGCCUAACACAUGCAAGUCGAGCGGCAACACGGUAAGAUCUCGCUCUUACGGUUGGCGGCUGGCGGGCGGGUGAGGCAUACAUCGCCAUCUUCUUAUUCGUGGGGGACUACGUAGAAAAGCAUACACUAAUAGCGCAUACGAUCUACCGCUGGGAUCAAGGGUUCUUGGGGCUUUGCCUGAUUCUAUUAGACGGUGUCGCAUUAGCUAGUUGGCUGGGUAAAGGCACACCAAGGCGACGAUGCGUAGCUGAUCUGAGAGGAUGAUCAGCCACACUGGAACUGAGACACGGUCCAGACUCCUACGGGAGGCAGCAGUGGGGAAUAUUCGGCAAUGGGCGAAAGCCUGACCCAGCCACGCCGCGUGAGUGAUGAAGGUCUUCGGGUUGUAAAGCCCUUUUGUUAGGGAAGAACAAAUGUAUAAGUAUCCACGCACGUCUUGACGGUACCUAAACAGUAAGCCCCGGCUAACUUCGUG